Molecule: microRNA precursor, 103 nt
Filed under: Marmota monax (woodchuck)
Lineage: Eukaryota; Metazoa; Chordata; Mammalia; Rodentia; Sciuridae
Source: RNAcentral
AAUGGGAUAACUGGAUCAAAUGGUGGUUCCAUUUCAAACUUUUUGAGGAAUCUCCAUACUGCUUUUCAGAGUGGUUGCACCAAUUUGCAGUCCCAACAGCAAU